AACGAACGCUGGCGGCAUGCCUAACACAUGCAAGUCGAACGAGACCUUCGGGCCUAGUGGCGCAGGGGUGCGUAACGCGUGGGAACCUGCCCUUAGGUUCGGAAUAACUCCCCGAAAGGGGUGCUAAUACCGGAUAAUGUCAUCGGACCAAAGAUUUAUGGCCUUUGGAUGGGCCCGCGUUGGAUUAGCUAGUUGGUAGUGUAAAAGCCUACCAAGGCGACGAUCCAUAGCUGGUCUGAGAGGAUGAUCAGCCACACUGGGAAUGAGACACGGCCCAGACUCCUACGGGAGGCAGCAGUGGGGAAUAUUGGACAAUGGGCGAAAGCCUGAUACAGCAAUGCCGCGUGAGUGAUGAAGGCCUUAGGGUUGUAAAGCUCUUUUACCCGGGAUGAUAAUGACAGUACCGGGAGAAUAAGCUCCGGCUAACUCCGUG
RNAcentral lists this ribosomal RNA (433 nucleotides) under uncultured bacterium. RNAcentral's name for it is "partial 16S ribosomal RNA". It matches the Rfam family "Bacterial small subunit ribosomal RNA", at positions 29 to 507 of the family's 1533-position model. The record is from RNAcentral.